This 492-nucleotide ribosomal RNA is filed under the name uncultured bacterium. Its description in RNAcentral is "partial 16S ribosomal RNA". It matches the Rfam family "Bacterial small subunit ribosomal RNA", at positions 29 to 507 of the family's 1533-position model. The record is from RNAcentral.
AGUGAACGCUGGCGGUAGGCCUAACACAUGCAAGUCGAACGGCAGCACAGUAAGAGCUUGCUCUUACGGGUGGCGAGUGGCGGACGGGUGAGGAAUACAUCGGAAUCUACUUUUUCGUGGGGGAUAACGUAGGGAAACUUACGCUAAUACCGCAUACGACCUACGGGUGAAAGCAGGGGAUCUUCGGACCUUGCGCGAUUGAAUGAGCCGAUGUCGGAUUGGCUAGUUGGCGGGGUAAAGGCCCACCAAGGCGACGAUCCGUAGCUGGUCUGAGAGGAUGAUCAGCCACACUGGAACUGAGACACGGUCCAGACUCCUACGGGAGGCAGCAGUGGGGAAUAUUGGACAAUGGGCGGAAGCCUGAUCCAGCCAUACCGCGUGGGUGAAGAAGGCCUUCGGGUUGUAAAGCCCUUUUGUUGGGAAAGAAAAGCAGCAGGUUAAUACCCCGCUGUUCUGACGGUACCCAAAGAAUAAGCACCGGCUAACUUCGUG